CAGUCGCCGCGGGAAUACAGAGGGUGCGAGCGUUAAUCGGAUUUACUGGGCGUAAAGCGUGCGUAGGCGGCUUCUUAAGUCGGAUGUGAAAUCCCUGAGCUUAACUUAGGAAUUGCAUUCGAUACUGGGAAGCUAGAGUAUGGGAGAGGAUGGUAGAAUUCCAGGUGUAGCGGUGAAAUGCGUAGAGAUCUGGAGGAAUACCGAUGGCGAAGGCAGCCAUCUGGCCUAAUACUGACGCUGAGGUACGAAAGCAUGGGGAGCAAACAGGAUUAGAUACCCCUGUAGUCCAUGUCUCUUAUAA
Molecule: ribosomal RNA, 301 nt
Filed under: uncultured bacterium
Lineage: Bacteria
Description: partial 16S ribosomal RNA
Rfam family: Bacterial small subunit ribosomal RNA
Source: RNAcentral